Molecule: long non-coding RNA, 6933 nt
Organism: Chiroxiphia lanceolata (lance-tailed manakin)
Lineage: Eukaryota; Metazoa; Chordata; Aves; Passeriformes; Pipridae
Exons: 3
Source: RefSeq, a predicted model, not a curated record
GCCAGAAAAGCUGGUGAACUGCAGACCUGGUGUUGCUUGGAGUAAUGAGUGACUUCAGCAGGACAACAGGAACUGCACCCUCAGCACAGGGAAGGGGCCAAGUCUGAUGCAGUGCCCAGUCCUGCAGUCAUCAAGGCUUACAGGUCCAAGCUCCUCCUUUAGCACAAAUUCCAUUUCGUAGAAUCAUGGAACAGUUUGCAAUGGAAGUGACCUUAAAGAUCAUUUAGUUCUACCCCCAAUUUACCAUGGACUCCUACAGAAACAAGCUCUGACACCCAAAAACAUUUCCAGUUAUAAAUCAGCAGUUCUCUCUGACAAAAGCAAUCAGACUCAAGGUAAAUGCCUUGUUGCUGUUACCUGGUGGCUUCCACUCACCAUCCCUUUCCCACUGCACACAAAUAUGGAUGAAAGCACAGCUGUGCUAAACCAAAGGCAGACAAAAGAAAGUUGUCCUCACUGCUGGCAUUUUUUUUUGUGUGCAUAUUUUAUGUUUGGUUUUCUGUUUGUUCCCAAACAUUUACUUCAUAUGGCCUGGCUGCUAAAGCCCAGCUCAGAAGAAGGACAGUGCCAAAGCCCAGUGCAGGGAUCUGUGCUGUGCCACAGAGUUUGUUGCCAUCUCCAGGCAGAGCAGUGAGUGUUCACCCCACCGGGACACUGGCAGUCAGCUGAACUGUAAUGUGUAAAGAGAUAUUAGGAGAGUAUGAGGAGAACUAGGAGUGGAUUAAAGAAAUCAAUAUUUAAGUAAUGGUUGUUGGCUUACAACAUGACUAGAAAUCCACUGAAAUGAAAAAAAAAAAAAAGCUUUCAACACAUUUCAGAGAAAAAAUAUAUCUUCACUGUGCUGCCAUUUACUUCAGUGGAAAUAAAUUAGGGGAAUAGUUUUAGCUCAUGUAGGUUGCUGUAGAGUCCAUGUACAAGUGUCUGGUUGAAGUAAGUGAAGUCUGGUUUAGCUGGAGCACAAUGCAAGCACUCAGGUUGGAGCUGCCAGGUAUUCUUAGAGCUUCACAAAAUGCAGAGGAAAUAGAAAUCCAGAGUGACAGCUGAGCUCAUCAUAACAUAAUGAGCACACUGCAAAAGUGCAAUAUAACAUCCCAGCAUGCAUUAGGGAAAGUCACAAAUAAUCAAAGGGUACUUCUGUGUACCACUAAGUACCAGGGAUAGUUAUUAAUACUAAUUGGAUGGCAUAGGAUUGGGAAUAGAAUCAAAAAUCAAAUGGGAUUUGAGGAAAACUAACUACAAAAUAUAUGGUGAUGCAGAAGCUAAAAUGCUACUGUCCUAGUGUGUUAAUCUACAACACCCUGAACACAUCAUUGCAUGGAGAAAGUAGAUAGAAAAGUGUUAAUAUGCGUACAAAAAUGUUGAGACUAACCAGGGAUUUAUUUGCACUUUUAUUGCAGGGGUUUAUCAAGUUUGUGAGGCAGUAAAAUUUCAAGUUUUUCAAGCUGAUCUUGACCAAAAUUUGACGUCUGGGAGCUGCAAGGGAGGGAGGGUGCUCACAGUCCGCUGAGAAAAGGCCUCUGCCCUCCAUUUACUUUUAAUUUUUCUUCCAACAAAAAUAAAUGUUUUAAAAAUAGCCAUGGUUAAUGCAGGUCCCAUAAACAUUAUUGCUGUCUUAGGUUAUGUACACACACUUAUCCAUGGAAUGUGGCACUUACUUAAGGAUCUGCCCUGUUACACUAUUAUUUUGGGGAUGCAGAGCUACCCCAGGUCAAUAGGCUUUAGAAAGGGAUUGUAGGAUGUAAGGAGAUUCAUUGACUCUCUGGCAAGUUGUACCUAAUACCUUCUCUAAAAGCCAACAGAUGGUGUGUGAACAGGCAGCAAAGCUUAUUUUCAGAAAUAUCACAACACCAGACAGUGCAAGCACAGGCAUAAGGCCACAGAUAUAAACUCGAAGUUAUUUUCAAGCACCAUUAGUAACAAGGAAAGAAAAUCAAUACAGGACUGCCAGGUGGAAGCAGAUGGGUUUUCUCACUGUAAGAUGAGCUAGAAAUCAGAUCCCAAUUUCACCUCCAAAGGAACACAGUUAAGGAGAGUCAUAAAGGUUAUAAACCAUCCCUGGAACCUAUUCGACAACAUCCUCUUAUUGCAGCUGAUGUCAAAACCUUUCUUGACAGACCUGCCUUUGCUAAUAGUCUGCUGUCAUUUCAAAAGCACUCACGACUUACAGGAAACCUGCUAGAUCCUGUAAAACCCAUCUCCUUUAGCCUCUUCUUAAACCAUAAUAUUCUACCAGGAGUUCUUGACCUGCAGUUCCAGUUCCAAACAGAGUUCCUGAAGUAUUUUCACGCAAACUCCUGCAAGGAGAUAUUAGAGGUAUUAGGUAUUUGAGAGAUAUCUCACACAAAACAUUAUAUCAUAUAUCAUCAUUAAACAACCCACAGAUGCCUCUGCCCUCCAGACUCCUGCAAAAACACCAGGCUGGUGGAACUGGGACAAUCCUGCCACUUCCAGCAUGAUUUGAAGGAGGUCCCACAAAGACUUCCACAGUUUGUCCUUUGCCUCCCAGAGCUCAGAUAACCUGGGGAGAAUACAGAAACAAUGCUCUAACCUACGUAGGUCCAUCCUUGUUUGUUCAACAGGAUAUACAUCCCAUGUACUUACAUCAUCCAGGGGUGGUGGUGAGCAGUUCUCAAGAUGAGCUCACCCUGGUUCUCCUAUGUGCCAUAUGGUCCCAGACCUUCUCUCUAAUAUAAAUAACUACUGUUACAGUAAUGUAUAGCUUUGAGAGAACAACCAGCUACAAGCUCUUGCCUCUCAUUGCCUUGCAUUAGGCAGGAUGUGAGUCUUUCCCUCUAUAUCCACACGCACUGGUCCUGAUAAAAUUAUUCUUCUUGCUGGUGGGAACUACAGAAUUCACUCCAAGUCCAGAAUGACAACCAAAACAAUCAUUUCAGCAGCUGACAUUGAUAUUUCUCACCUUUUUUGUCUUUCAAAGCACUGUUUCAAUUCGCAAUAAACACAGAAUUAAAUAUACUGCUGCAUCUUGAUAUGAAAUAACAUUAUUCCAAAUACUUUUAUUAAGGGGACAGAUUUUGGCAGUCUUCCUCCUGCAGAAGAGAAUCUUACUUCACAAGGAACUGUCUCCAGCUUCCUCAUUUCUCAUUCAAUCCCACUAACACUGCUCAUAUAAAGGAGGGAGGUAGAAUAUGGCCAUUGUGACCUGCCCUGUAGUUAACCUAUAACAAAAUCUCUUCCAGCUGCUCUAGUAUUGGUGGCCCGUGUUCCACAAAAGGCCGUGGUUUUCCACUCCCUGCACACUCUACAAAUCACUUGGUGGUCUGUCAUGCUAAGCACUGUGAUCUGUCUGGUAUCUGCCAUCUCUAAGGAAGUGUGGGGGAGAAGAACCAAGAAAUGGGUUGGGAAAGGAGAAAAGCCUUGGCCAUGCUGCCACACAAACCAAGAAACAGUCACUGUUUCCCCCAGAAACAGUCACUGCAUUGCAACUCUCAUCAAGAGGCUGAAAGCCACACCAAGGGUGGGAAAACCACUGUAGCAAACAGAGAACAACAGGAAAAAAAAAUUUCCCUACAGGUGACUGUCUGGAUACAAUGACAAGAAUGCAUGGGCUUCACUUCCCAUCGACGGCAAGCUGUUGAGAUCCCAUCCAAGAUAUUGUCCCAAAACUCCAGAGAUCCAAACUGAGAACCCUUUACAGGAGCUUGGAAAAAGUUGCAAAAUACCUUGCAAGAAAUUUCUAUUGCUGCCUCCCCUCAUAUACCCCUCUGUUGCACCCAGCCUCACAUACAGCAGUGACACAGUGGUUGGUCACACCAAUGGUAUCUGUCCAGCAGGUGCAUUUUCACUGUGCAAGCUGCCCUGUCCUCACAAAAAUCACAGAAUAAUUUUGGUUGGAAAAGACCUCUAAGGUCAUCAAGUCCAACCAUCAAUCCAGCACUGCCAAGCCCGUCACUAAGCCACAUCCCUAAGUGCCACAUCUAUACGUCUUUUGAAUACCUUCAGGAAUGGCUACUCCACUACUUCCCUAGGCAACCUAUUUCUCCCUUUAAUUCAGAUAUUUAAGAUGCCCAUCUGCUUUUAUAUCUUGCUUACAGUCCAUGACUUUUUCUGUACCUUUUUUCCCCAAGUGGUACAGCAAAUACCUCUUAAUUCACCAUACUGGAACUGCAUCUGGAUUAAAAAUAGUUUGCAAUGGCAUCACUCUGUCUCAAGCCAGGAUUGUUUAAAAGCACAUUUGUCUUCUCCAGGAAAGCAAUCAACAUAUGCUCAUGUUGGCCCCGGGACCAUUUGUUCAACAAACAGGUAGAAUGCAGGAAUCUGGCUGCACAUGCCUUUCUCCAUGCAUUUUCCUUUCCCCUGAGGAGAAUUUGUAAUGUGUUUUAUCCCACAUAAAAAAAGCAAAUCUGGAAAUAACAGAACAUUUUCUUGAUUCACAACUCUAUAGGACUGGAGGAGCAUCUGCUGUGACAGGAGGUGAGCAUGGAGAGACCUACGUCAGAUAACUUCUAGACACAUUUGAGCUCCAUGUAAAAAAUGAAGACAAAUUUCCACUAUAAAUGUUUAUUUUCCUCAUCAUGAAUAAAGACCAUCUGAAAGCAGGAAAAAGCCUCCCACUGCUUUCGGUAGUGGCUUCUGAUCUCAGCUGUCUUCACCUAUCAAAACAAAACAGGAACAGGAAUAUUUUUGCAUCAAAAAGUUGGGACAAAAUCACCAAUUAGAAGUCAUGAAUGCAACAGAAUCACAUCUACACUUCUGCUUUGGGGGAGAGCUGCAAAAUCAGGGACCAGAGUCACAAUUAGUCAGUUUGAUCCUAAAACUUGAAUUUUAUUUUAAGGUGUUAAGGGGACGCCCAUAACUAGAAUGAAAACAAAACUUCCAAUUCUCUUUUCUUUGUUUCAGUUAAAGCUUGCAGAAACAUGGGACCAUGAAUGUAUUUUUCCUGGGCAGUUCCAGGAACCCCACCAGAACAGCAUAAAUAAUCAGAUGCUCAUUGUAGAAGGAAAAUGAGCUCACAAACCCAUAUAUCACAGAGCAAGAAGCAAAAACCAUGUGAAUUGCUGUCAAUAGUUAAAAAUCUCUAACUUUGAAAAUAUUGCAACAAAAAAAACUUUGAGCCUGAUCCCCACCCCCUUACAGAUUGUGCAGAACAUAAUGCAGGGUUUGGCUGCCUCUAACUAUAAUGUUAGGGUGGGAUUUUCAAAGAUGCUGUAUUUUGGCUUCAUUUCAAUUCUUAUGAAGGCAAUGGAAAAUUUCAGUGGGGUCCACACAUGGCUAAUGUGGAAAACGUUUGAGAGUCUUUAUAUUACCUCUUUUUCUAACCUUUUAUUUUGGCUGACCAAGCUUUGAGCACAUGGACACACUGAGCCAGGUCCAAGAAUAUUUUAUACCUUUUGGCUGCUGGUUGUGGGCUCCUGAAAGGAGAUGGGGCAUCUGGAAACUUUGCUGAUCUGAUCUUUGGAGGCUGAAUUUGAAACUCUGUGUUCCUACCACUACUAGUCUGAAGAUGAAAAUAGUUACAUUAACAGUGUAAUAUUCAAGAUAAAUGGUUUUCUUUGCUGAGUUUGAUACUGCACUCCUUGCUGUCACUUAAUUUCAUCUCAUCCCAUUCAGGAUGCCAGAUUCAAUUUGGUUUUGCCAAAGAUCAGUUUGAGCUCUCACUGAUAUGAACUCUGGUGAAUUUUGACUUUGAUCAGAGGUUAAUGAACUCAGAGUAAACAACUGUCACCAAUCUACAGUUUCCGGAUCUUCCGAUACAACAGCUAUUUGUAUUGAUAACAUAUAGAAAAUUUGGUCUCAUGCCUGUCAAAGAACUUUGGGUAUAAGACAUACCCAUAGUAUGACUAUCACAUCAUCUCUCCCAAUACUUCACCCCAAAAUAGGCAGCUGCUCUAUUUAACUGCAUUACAGACCUGGCAGGCACUGAACUGCCUUGUCAGUAUGGAGUAAAUGAGCCCAAACUCUCCCCAAACUUGCAAAUAUUAAUUCAUUAAUAAGCAAUAACACAAAGUUAUAUGAGAGGGGAAAGACAUUGGCAAAGUCUUCUUCACUCAUGAGCAGAAGUGACUUAAGGUGGUGAGCCCAGGUUGCCAGGUGGGAAAUGCUACAGAGCAAGGCAUAGCAUGUUGUCCAUGUUUCCCCAAAAAUUAUGGAUUGAGCCUGGUGAAAGGGCUCAGAGGUGCCUCUAUGGAGUCACACCAGGAUACCUGGAGCUCAGCAGCACCUUGGAACUGGGAGGACUUCAAGGAAGGCUGCAGAGAGGAGCAGGGAGAUACAGUGCAAGGAUAACUGAAUCCAGUUUAACCUGUUAUGACGUUGAUGCACUUGUGAAAUACAAGCAUUUCACUGCACAGAGAUGCCCUGCUCCCCUGAGAACACAAAGACAAGGAAAUUUCUUUCCCUCUUUUUUGUGUUUACUUUAUAGUAAUACUCAAAAGUGUUCACUAAGCAAUGCUUAAAAGUAACAGUGCAAAAAGUUAUUCUAACUGAGUCCGUGAAUCAGAUGUAAUGACCUCAGCACAGAUCAGGACCUAAUGCAUCAUCAGUCAGAUCUUAGCCAGCUGAGAAAAGGAGUCAUUUACUUGAUGUGAGCAACUGAAUUUUUCUCUCUUAAAAGUUGCUGUGUGCAAUACUGCUGGAAUCUGGGGCUGGUGAAACCAAAGGAUGAGCACUAAAACAUUAUGUCUGACUUUUGAGUGAUAUGUCUUCUCUUCAAAGAUUAACCAAAUCUUCAGAAUUCAUGUCAAAGCAAUACAAUUUCAAACCAAGGAAAUUCGGUUUUCCAGCGAUUUUGUUCUGCAUAGUUUAAAAAUCAUGUAAACAGUAUUAGUUUCCUAUUUACAGCACAUAAUUCUGUACUCUUUUGUUUAUCCUCUUUUAAACAUGUAAUUACUGUAUAUUGUAAUGCACAUUAAUAUCCUCUAUUGUACAUAGUUUAUUUUAACAAAAUAAAUGUAUUACUAAGAUCGGAAGACACAC